GAUGAACGCUGGCGGCGUGCCUAAUACAUGCAAGUCGAGCGAACAGAUGAGGAGCUUGCUCCUCUGACGUUAGCGGCGGACGGGUGAGUAACACGUGGAUAACCUACCUAUAAGACUGGGAUAACUUCGGGAAACCGGAGCUAAUACCGGAUAAUAUAUUGAACCGCAUGGUUCAAUAGUGAAAGACGGUUUUGCUGUCACUUAUAGAUGGAUCCGCGCCGCAUUAGCUAGUUGGUAAGGUAACGGCUUACCAAGGCAACGAUGCGUAGCCGACCUGAGAGGGUGAUCGGCCACACUGGAGCUGAGACACGGUCCAGACUCCUACGGGAGGCAGCAGUAGGGAAUCUUGCGCAAUGGGCGAAAGCCUGACGGAGCAACGCCGCGUGAGUGAUGAAGGUCUUCGGAUCGUAAAACUCUGUUAUUAGGGAAGAACAAAUGUGUAAGUAACUAUGCACGUCUUGACGGUACCUAAUCAGAAAGCCACGGCUAACUACGUG
This 497-nucleotide ribosomal RNA is filed under the name uncultured bacterium. RNAcentral describes it as "partial 16S ribosomal RNA". It matches the Rfam family "Bacterial small subunit ribosomal RNA", at positions 28 to 507 of the family's 1533-position model. The record is from RNAcentral.